Non-coding RNA from Rattus norvegicus (Norway rat), 2852 nucleotides. Lineage: Eukaryota; Metazoa; Chordata; Mammalia; Rodentia; Muridae. The record is from RefSeq and is a predicted model, not a curated record.
UAGGGCAGAGAGCAUGCUCUCUGCCAGGGUGGCCCUGCCUGUAAGUACGUGUGUGUUAUUUACACACAUCUCACAGAGUGUUUUGAGACUAAUUGUAUAGAUUUCUGUAGCCUAGGAAAGCAAGGCAUAAUUUGCUUAGAGGGAGGCUCUACAAUUCCGCCUCAGGAGAAAUCACUCCAAACUCCAACUUUAGGGGCUGGGGAUUCCGAGGGACCGUGGCUUGAUGUCCGUUAGGAGUUAACAGAGACCAGCAACUCAUUUCACAGGUCAUGUUCCAGCCAUCAAAGUGUAAUUACCGUCAAACCCCACUGGCGCAAGUCCCGACUGUAUUUUCCGGUGGAUGCGUGAAUUUAAGUUCUAUAGGAUCCUAAGGGACCUUCAGCCUUCCAGAGAUCAAAAGACAUUCCAUAGCACUAGGGAAAUGGUCCACGUGCAUCAACUUCAGACAGAAAUUGCCGUUGUUGUCAUUACUGUUUUUAAUGAAACUAGCACUUGCAGCGUUGAUGAUUGGGAAACAUGACUGGGCUUGGAAGACCGUCAAUCUAUUGGAAGCAGUAGAUGCAUCCGAAGAACUCUGCCCUUCCAGCCGAGGCUCCUCCAGUUGCUAUAGCAACGCAGGAACUAGCUUUCUUAGGGGCUUGAGCAGCCCGGUGCUCUGCAGGCCAAACGUUCCCAUGAGACUUUGGCACUGGGUUACACCUGAGACCGGGCAUUCGUGAAACACAGAUUUCUUACCUAUAAAUUGUUUGCCUGGUGGAAAAAAUAUGACUCUGGGCUCCCUGAGUUAGUGACGGGCAUGUAAGUAAGGACUGAAAGGCCUUCCCUUCUCUCCUUCCCUUCUGUCAUUUCAGGCUUGUCUCUGUUUCCUUGUCUCUUCAGUGGCCGAGGGCUUAGAUGGCUGGUGUUACAGUUGUUGCCCCACUGCCCCCAACCCCACUCAUCACUUGCUGAAAUGGGAACGUGAAUAACCAAAGCUGUAAGAUCUCCAGGACACAGAGCAGCAACAAGACAUCCAAGAGGAGUCCUGGGAGAACCCAGUAUUGAUAGAGCAGCAGAGGCCUCUGACCCAGACCAAUGACUCACUGAAGUGAACAUUUGCAAGUUAACACUGCUGGGCAAAAGGCUUCCUUGGAUUCAAAUGCUUGCUGUACCCAGCAUGUCCCUGGUCUCAGUGAGUAACUGCUGACUGCGUCUCUGGCCUGUAAUUGCCUAAGCGUGCACCAUAGUGGAAAUGAUGAUCAUGGAGACUUGAGGCCAAACUCCAGCUCCAGCGUAUUAGCAAGUCAAACAAUGAUAUGAACUCGGAUUCUCUAGGACUUCAGCAAAGCAAAGGGAGAAAUGAAAAGAGGAAACUGUCUAUUCAAGCUUGAGAGCACAGCACAGGGGAAGAAACAAUUCCCUUCCCAUGGGUCACCCACCAGAGUUCAGCUUCAGCCUCAACACGAUGGCAGGUGAGUGACGCUAGCAAGUCCAGGUCUUGAUUGCUCCCAACGGUGCUUCCAAGGGAGGGAAGAGGAGAACGUGGGAAUGCUGUCACCUAUAUCGUUAGGUGGCAAUUCUCUGCAGACAUGUCACCUGUAUCGUUAGGUGGCAAUUCUCUCUGCAGACAUGCAGAGAAUUGGGGAAGGUUAUGAAUGGGAAGAAGGCAUGUAGUUGAGUUUCGGUCACCUCCAAGGUCCUAUACUGAAGCCCUAAGGUUGCCUCGUUUCUAUGUUUGGAAGCUGGGACUUUAAAGAGUUAAUUAAGUUAAAUGAGGUCAUUAGGGUGACUCCUAAUCCAAGUUGACUAUUAUCUUUAUGAAAAGAAGAGACUUUGAUGCGUGUAUGAAUAGAGGGGAGACUGUAAAACAUCGGGCAAGAGGCAAGCAGGUACCAGCUGCCCUCAGAAGGAAUCAGCCCAGCCUGUAACACGUGGUUAGUCAGACCAUGAGAGUCAUCAGACUGCACAUGGGGUGAAGGGCAGUUGGAGUAGGAACACGACCAUUGGCAGGUUUCUAGGUGGUCAGGACAGACCCUGGGCAGGACCUUAAGAGAAGGCAAACACAUGGGAAGAGUGUAGCCAGGUGCUUUGUUUGGGGAGGGACCAACAACAGCGGUAAACAGCACAGAGGCCAACACCCACCACUGCUUUAAAUGCAUCAUUUUAUACACACGAACACUGUGCGUUUGUAUGGAUGGAACCCAGUCUCUUCACUCAACCUUCAGCCACAGCUAAAAUUUCCUGCUGUCUCCCCAGUCCACAUUAUGCUUAUUUAUGGCUUAUUUUGUCCUGGUUCCUCCUCCUUCCCUUCUCAUCUACCCCCGACACCCCCACAUCCCGCCCCUUCCCUCCACCAUCGCCUGCACGACGGAAUUUAAUGCAAGUUGCUAUACUUUUCCAGGCUUUAAACUUCCCCAAGCUUGAAGUGGAGGUGGUGAUGACGCCCGCCCAUAGAGCAAGGUCAUUGGUGCUUUCAAUGCCGCAGGCCAGGCUCUGUAAGAAUUUGGGGGGAAGAAACUUUAGCCCAGAGGGGUUAGUAGAAUCACGAAAGCAGCACAGGAGCGGGGACCUGCGCUUCUAGCCCUCCCGCGCUCUUCUAAUUCUAUUCUGUGUUUUGUAGAAGAUUCCGUGCCGCUGCUCGGUGCAGAUCUGCUCUCCACAGCCUGCCCAAUCUUUUUAAAAAUAAAGCGAGUUGCGAUCCUCCCACCGUGGCGUUCUAUUUUCUUCCUGCUCAAACCCAACACUUCAGACGUUUCCUACUCGCUCCAAUGCAGAAUCAAGCCUCAUCCUGACCCACAGCCCCUCCUCGGCAGGUUCUUCCUAUCACACCAUACUGCACUCGACUCUUUACCGUCCCUCCGCAGAACCUUUGA